UCCGAGUUGACCCCGGCAGUCUCCCAUGAGUCCCCGCCAUUACGCGCUGGCAACAUGGAACGAGGGUUGCGCUCGUUGCGGGACUUAACCCAACAUCUCACGACACGAGCUGACGACAACCAUGCACCACCUGUGAACCGGCCCCAAAAGGAGAAACCACAUCUCUGCGGCGGUCCGGUCCAUGUCAAGCCUUGGUAAGGUGGGGAUGACGUGGGAGGAAUUCCA
Molecule: unclassified non-coding RNA, 225 nt
Filed under: uncultured Micrococcaceae bacterium
Lineage: Bacteria; Bacillati; Actinomycetota; Actinomycetes; Micrococcales; Micrococcaceae
Description: contains 16S-23S intergenic spacer region
Source: RNAcentral